This 933-nucleotide ribosomal RNA is filed under the name uncultured bacterium. Its description in RNAcentral is "bacterial SSU rRNA". It matches the Rfam family "Bacterial small subunit ribosomal RNA", at positions 1 to 926 of the family's 1533-position model. The record is from RNAcentral.
GGAAUUUCGCCCUUAGUUUGAUCCUGGCUCAGGACGAACGCUGGCGGCGCGCCUAACACAUGCAAGUCGAACGGGGUUAUACGGGAUGAAGUUUUCGGAUGGAAUUCGGUAUAACCUAGUGGCGGACGGGUGAGUAACACGUGAGCAACCUGCCUAUCAGAGGGGGAUAACGAUUGGAAACGAUCGCUAAUACCGCAUGACAUAGCGGGAAGGCAUCUUCCUGCUAUCAAAGAUUUAUCGCUGAUAGAUGGGCUCGCGUCCGAUUAGAUAGUUGGUGAGGUAACGGCUCACCAAGUCGACGAUCGGUAGCCGGACUGAGAGGUCGAACGGCCACAUUGGGACUGAGACACGGCCCAGACUCCUACGGGAGGCAGCAGUGGGGGAUAUUGCACAAUGGGGGAAACCCUGAUGCAGCGACGCCGCGUGAGGGAAGACGGUCCUCUGGAUUGUAAACCUCUGUCUUCGGGGACGAAACGGGACGGUACCCGAGGAGGAAGCCACGGCUAACUACGUGCCAGCAGCCGCGGUAAUACGUAGGUGGCAAGCGUUGUCCGGAAUUACUGGGUGUAAAGGGAGCGUAGGCGGGCAGGCAAGUCAGGCGUGAAAUAUAUCGGCUCAACCGGUAUCUGCGCUUGAAACUGCAGGUCUUGAGUGAAGUAGAGGUUGGCGGAAUUCCUAGUGUAGCGGUGAAAUGCGUAGAUAUUAGGAGGAACACCAGUGGCGAAGGCGGCCAACUGGGCUUUUACUGACGAUGAGGCUCGAAAGUGUGGGGAGCAAACAGGAUUAGAUACCCUGGUAGUCCACGCCGUAAACGAUGGAUACUAGGUGUGGAAGGUAUUGACCCCUUCCGUGCCGCAGUUAACACAAUAAGUAUCCCACCUGGGGAGUACGGCCGCAAGGUUGAAACUCAAAUGAAUUGACGGAAGGGCGAAU